This 517-nucleotide ribosomal RNA is filed under the name uncultured eukaryote. RNAcentral's name for it is "bacterial SSU rRNA". It matches the Rfam family "Eukaryotic small subunit ribosomal RNA", at positions 620 to 1115 of the family's 1831-position model. The record is from RNAcentral.
UUAAAAGGUCGUAGUUGGGUUUCUGGUUGGCUGUUUCUGCCCUCUUGUGAGUGCGCAGUGGUAGCCUACCAUCCUUCUGUUAACCUAGCAGCUCUUCACUGGGCUGUUAGGGGCUCAGAUAUUUUACCUUGAGAAAAUUAGAGUGUUUCAGGCAGGCUAGCGCCGGAAUACAUUAGCAUGGAAUAAUAGAAUAGGACUUUUACCUCUUCUGUUGGUCUGAGGGGUUCAAGUAAUGAUUAAUAGGGAUAGUUGGGGGCAUUAGUACUUAACUGUCAGAGGUGAAAUUCUCGGAUUUGUUAAAGACUAACUUAUGCGAAAGUUUGCCAAGGAUGUUUUCAUUAAUCAAGAACGAAAGUUAGGGGAUCAAAGACGAUCAGAUACCGUCCUAGUCUUAACUAUAACUAUACCGACUAGGGAUUGGUUGGGAUUUUUUAACCCAAUCAGCACCUUAUGAGAAAUCAAAUCGGAUCCCCGGGUACCGAGCUCGAAUUCACUGGCCGUCGUUUUACAACGUCGU